Molecule: long non-coding RNA, 1299 nt
Filed under: Daucus carota (carrot)
Lineage: Eukaryota; Viridiplantae; Streptophyta; Magnoliopsida; Apiales; Apiaceae
Description: long non-coding RNA (DCAR_LNC006371)
Source: RNAcentral
UUCUUUUAUAUACAAAUAUACUUCUUUUGAUUAGAAAUUGACAAGCAUGUGCAUCAUCAGUUACGGAUAGUCUGGUGUACUUAAACUUAGGAUAAAUGAGAAUAUUACCAGAUAGAGUUAUCAGAGCAGAGGCGGUAAAAGCUAUCGAGAGAAAAGAAAACUAGGGUUUGGUAUUUGGGGCAAAUCAAUCGAGUGUUUCAGGUGAGGAUCAGUUGAUUACAUAGCUUUGUAUACCUGUCAUGUGAUUUCACUGCUAGAUAUAAUUAUAAUUGUUGUUGUGUUGAUUGGUUUAAUCAGAGUUUGGGGGUGGCGAUUGGGUGGAGUAUGGAGGCUGGGUCGCUGGUAAUGGAGAGAAGCGGAGGUGGUGGUACAGCGGCGUAGAAGGGAGAGGCCGGUUGGGUGAUUGCAGCCGAUCGCCGGAGUGGCGCGAAGGUUGCAGGCGGCUCUGCCGCGGCUGUGCACCGCAGUGGCGAGACGCGCCGUUCACAGGGUAGAGAGAGAGAGAGGGGGGGCUGAAUGGAGGUGCUGGGCAUUGGCUAUGGCCGGAAUCCGGCGAGGCCUGGCGGCAGUCCCGAGGAGGCUGCCACGCGAGUUUUCCGGGAGAAAAACAAAAACAAAUAUUAAUUUUGUUUUUAUUAUUUUUAUUAUUGUUAUUUUUAAUAAAUGAUAACAAUAAUAUUAAUAAUAUUAAUAAAAUUAAUAUAUACUUUUGAUUGUUAUAUUUCUUUGCAAGGUGUAUUAUUAUUAUACUCUAUGACGUGAUUAUUAGUCAUAAAUUGUUUUUCUCGAUUCUUGUAUCAAUUUAUUAUGUUGAUAACAUGUGUAGUUAUGCAACUUAGCGGAUUAGAUACAAGAAUUUGAUUAUUGUGGACAAAUAUUGGGUUGAUUGUGGAUGGUUGGGAUUGCUCUAAAAUUAUAGAGAUGAUGUCCGGAUUUUUAAUUUUAUUAAGAUUUGGAUUUAAUUUGAGAAUCGAAUUAAGAUUAUAAUUCGGAUUCUGAUUAAGAUUUGGACUGAGAUUCUUGGAUUAUCAGUUAUAAUUAUUUAUAAAUAAUAAAGCAUGUCAAUCUCGUGAUACGUGACAAUGUGAUUACGUGUUUAAAUUAUAAAUAUUAUGUGUACAUAAUAAUUGAAAUAUUUAUAUAUCACGAAGGGUAGAAUCCGAAUUCGAUUUCUCGAUUUAGACGACAAUCUGAUUUGUUCGCCAACUAAAUUAUUAUAUUGUUGUUAUAUAUAGUCGACCAAGAUGUAUUAUCAAGGACGUUCAGAAUAGUUGAUUUGUAUUGUCGGAUUGUGUUGAG